CAUACCGGGCCGGGUGUAGCUCAGUGGCAAGCGCUCACCUGGACUGCUCAAGGCCCGGAUGUGAUCCCUAGCAUGGAAAACAUGGGGGAGGGGAGGAGCAGAGAAGGGGGCUGGACGGAGUUUGUUUUGCUGAGUGGCGCUGAUUUAGGGACACACGGAGGUAGCGGGUGCCUGGGGACCCCUCCUUGGCUGCCCCAGUGGGGAUGCAGCCGCCAGCCGCCUGCCAGUUUCCUGUCUCACUGCGGUGGCCCUGACCCACCGGUCCUUCCGGGUGGGGGUGGCCUUGGGGUCAAGCUUCUCCCUGACUGUGGGACCUUGGGCAAAUGUGCAGGUCCUCCGGCCACCGCCUUCCUCAUGCGCAGGGUGAGAAUAGUUCGGGUCCCCCCCACAUGCCCUGUGAGCCCAGCUGGGGCUGCGUGCCGUGAGCGUGAGGCCGGCCCGGGCUACACAGCAAGACCCUGUCUGCAAAGAGAAAGUGCCUCGUGAAGGUCCUGGGCCUCACUGGCCAGCACAGCGCUCCCCCCGGAGCCUGAGGAAGGGGUGACCGUGGGGCCCUUUCACCCGCUCUUCCUGCUCGGAGAACUCCAGCCCACACUUUGCCUCCAACCCCCAUUGCCUCUCCCUGCUUUCAUCCAUUUUCUGAAAAUGCAGGCACGGUGAGGGGCAUCCCUGGCCCCUUCCCGGUGCAGCCGAGAACCCGGUGCAGGGUGGGUGCACGUGCUCUGCCAGCCCUGACCAGCUCCCGGGACGCCCCUCUGCCCUGGCAUUCCGGCCGCACCCCUCCUCACCUUCCUGACAGGACACAGUACGGAUGGAUCCAGCGCUCUGCAGGCAUCGUUAGUGAUAAGCGUUCUCAUGUGGUGGCAAAUCUCAGAUUUAAAAAGCAGUUUGCAACCAUUUUCUCCCCUGGGCCCCUGCGGGGAGGGGUCUGAGCUGGACCUGAGCCACUGCUGGGCGACAGUGAUGACAACAAGAGGGUCAGGGGUGCUCCCUGCCCCGGACCUGGUGGCAGGGGUGUGGGGCUGGCGGUGGACACUGCCCUGGAGCUCAAGGCUCUGGGGUGGAGCCCCAGGCCUCACACACGCCAGACAAUGGCUCUGACUGAGGGACAUCCCCGGCACCAGCUGGACUGAUUUUGAAUUGUGAGUCAGCCUUGCUCCUGGCCAGUGCAAUCAGGAGGAAAAGAACUGGGUUAUGAACACGCGGCUGCUCGCCGGCUGGCUGUCUAGCAGCAGGCACACAAAUCAGGAUUAUGGAUGUCACUGUCUCUGCACAAAGAAAAAUGGACGGAGAGGCCCGGUCACGGCCCGAGCCCAGGGCUGGAGCAGGCCACCUCUGCAGAGCGCAGGUGGCCCAGGGUCAGACGACCUGGAGGAACCUCUGGAGUGGCUUUGGGGACAGCGGGGUCUGAUUUACCCACGAUGCUAUGACAACCGUAUCACUCUGGGUGUGUUUCUUUUUUUAAUUGCAAGUAGGAAAUAAAACCAAAGCAAAUGAAACCA
Long non-coding RNA from Chinchilla lanigera (long-tailed chinchilla), 1502 nucleotides. RefSeq lists it as uncharacterized. The record is from RefSeq and is a predicted model, not a curated record. The transcript is spliced from 4 exons. NCBI's taxonomy places the organism in Eukaryota, Metazoa, Chordata, Mammalia, Rodentia, Chinchillidae.